GAACCGUCCAAACGUUAUUCGGAAUCAUUGGGCUUAAAGGGUGCGUAGGCGGCGUGGUCAGUUGGGUGUGAAAUCCCUCGGCUCAACCGAGGAACUGCGCCCAAUACUGCCACACUCGAGGGAGACAGAGGUAAGCGGAACUGAUGGUGGAGCGGUGAAAUGCGUUGAUAUCAUCAGGAACACCAGUGGCGAAGGCGGCUUACUGGGUCUCUUCUGACGCUGAGGUACGAAAGCUAGGGGAGCGAACGGGGGAUUAGAUACCCCGGUAGUCCUAGCUGUAAACGAUGAGCACUUGAUCGGAGACUCCUCCAUAGGUUUCCGGUCGUAGCGAAAGUGUUAAGUGCUCCGCCUGGGGAGUAUGGUCGCAAGGCUG
RNAcentral lists this ribosomal RNA (373 nucleotides) under uncultured organism. Its description in RNAcentral is "partial 16S ribosomal RNA". It matches the Rfam family "Bacterial small subunit ribosomal RNA", at positions 527 to 896 of the family's 1533-position model. The record is from RNAcentral.